Non-coding RNA from Triticum aestivum (bread wheat), 115 nucleotides. NCBI's taxonomy places the organism in Eukaryota, Viridiplantae, Streptophyta, Magnoliopsida, Poales, Poaceae. The record is from Rfam.
AUGCUACUCCCUCCGUUCCAAAUUAGUCGUCACAGAAAUGGAUGUAUCUAGAACUAAAAUACAUCUAGAUACAUCCAUUUCUGCGACGAAUAAUUCGUAACGGAAGGAGUACAUG